Mauremys reevesii (Reeves's turtle) is the source of this 5547-nucleotide RNA transcript. It is a transcript of the gene named solute carrier family 30 member 7, with no coding region annotated. NCBI's taxonomy places the organism in Eukaryota, Metazoa, Chordata, Testudines, Geoemydidae. The record is from RefSeq and is a predicted model, not a curated record. The transcript is spliced from 12 exons.
CAGAGCAGGUGCCGGAAGUGUCGGAAGCGGAUCCCGGCGCGGCGAAGGGGCGCUGCAGCCGCGCCGCUCCCAGCCUGCCCCGCUCCUUGCCGGGGUCGCCUGCGCCCGGCGCAGGGAAGAUGUUGCCUUUAUCCAUCAAGGACGAUGAGUACAAACCGCCUAAGUUCAACCUGCUCAGCAAGGUCUCGGGCUGGUUCAGGUCCAUCCUGUCCGACAAGACCUCGCGGAACCUGUUCUUCUUCCUCUGCCUCAACCUCUCCUUUGCCUUCGUGGAGCUGCUCUACGGCAUCUGGAGUAACAGUUUAGGUCUAAUAUCAGAUUCCUUUCAUAUGUUCUUUGACUGUACUGCUCUACUGGCCGGAUUAGCAGCUUCAGUCAUUUCAAAGUGGAGAUCAAAUGAUGCUUUCUCAUAUGGGUAUGUUCGAGCAGAGGUACUGGCUGGCUUUGUAAAUGGUCUGUUUCUGAUCUUCACAGCAUUCUUCAUUUUCUCUGAAGGCGUUGAGAGAGCAUUGGAGCCUCCUGAUGUGCAUCAUGAGAGACUUCUUCCUGUGUCUAUAUUAGGAUUCCUUGUGAAUCUUAUAGGAAUAUUUGUUUUUCAACAUGGAGGCCACGGACACUCACAUGGCUCUGGGCAUGAGCACAGUCAUUCUCUAUUUAAUGGUGUUCUCAGCCAUGGACACAGUCACGGAGGUCACGGUCACACCCAUGAAUCCAAACAUGGCCAUGGGCAUUCUCAUGAUCACAGUCAUGGGAAGGGACACUCGCACAAUCAGGAGUAUUGUCAUGAUGAUCACUCGCUUGAAGGGGCUGCAGGAUCUAACAGACAGAUUUUAGAAGGUGUAUUUUUACACAUUGUCGCAGACACUCUUGGAAGUGUUGGUGUAAUCAUAUCAGCUAUACUGAUGCAGAACUAUGGUCUAAUGAUAGCAGAUCCUAUCUGUUCAAUGCUCAUAGCUCUACUCAUAGGAAUAAGUGUUGUUCCACUUUUAAGAGAGUCCAUUGGAAUCUUAAUGCAGCGAACUCCACCUUCCCUGGAAAGUGCCCUGCCUCAGUGCUAUCAGAGGGUUCAGCAGUUGCAAGGAGUUUACAGUUUACAUGAUCCACACUUCUGGACCCUUUGUAGUGACGUUUACAUAGGGACCUUGAAACUAUUUGUAGCUCCUGAUGCUGACGCCAAGUGGAUUCUAAGCCAAACUCACAAUAUUUUUACUCAGGAUCAACUUCAGUGAGAUCAGCAACAGAAAGAGACAAGAUGAUGAAGGAAGGGAGUUUUAUUCAAGCCCAAAUAUUUAUGAUGUCAGUGAGGAAAACAGGAAUUGCCUGGGCAGGAGUCAGACAGCUUUAUGUACAGAUUGACUUUGCAGCCAUGUAGUGAACAUCAUAAAUUGAGUUCUUUGGACCAAAGUUUUCUGGUACUGUAAUGGUAUAAAACAUUGUACUCUUCAAGACAGAGCCACCGCCACCCUGGUUAACCAAGACCAAAUAGACUGCUGCCUUUUGGCUACUUCUAGAGUUCACGUUUAAGGAGUAAAAACUGAAAGGACGCGUCUUGGACUUCUGGGCUUGUCUUUUGUGGCCCCCAAACUUUUUUUUCAUUUUGUGAGGGCUUUUUUUUUUUUACUUACUACAAUUGUUCCAACAGGAAACUAAGAUCGUGGGACUGCAAGUCCUGGUCAUGUCUUUAAUGAAGGGCUUGUCCAAACAAAAAAAAUUAGUUCAUAGCAAGCUGGGGCAUGAAUCUACUCUACACUAGCCUGUGGCAGACUAACUGCCCAUGUGGCUCCUGCCUUUAUGUAUUAACGGUUUGCUAGUGCACUUUGAUCUAGUCCUGUUCUAAAGAGGACUAGAUCUAAGCAUGUGUCAGCAGGGUCCAUAUUGACAGUUAGUCUCUAGCAAGCCAGCCGAGUAGAUUCACACCCCAGCUUGCCGCAAACUAACUGUUCACAUAAACAAGCCUGAAAGCUGCUCGUUCCCACAAAACCAGUGUUAUCAGAAAUUAGAGAGCGGUCUUGUACAUAAUGUCACAAUGGGUGGCAUUCUUCGUUAUAAUCGUAUGUUUGUAAAAUUGUUUGUACUUUGCAAACUUAAUGAACCAAACCAUAUUGGGGUUUCAAAGUGCCUUUAUAUCAGAAAAAGUAUUUGCCAGCAUCAACAUGGAACAUGAAGGGUUUUUAUUACUUUUAUGGCUACAGCUUGUUCACAACCUUAUUCUUGCUAGUGAUGUUAUGUGACUGUGUACUUGCGUAAUUGUAGAUUUUAGACUCCCUUUUACUGUUGCAUCUUAUCAAAUGAACUGGAGUGAAUUCUGUUUAAUUUACAUUACAAGUUAAAGCUAUUGUGGGAAACUUGCUUUCAAAACAUCUGUCUAUUUGCUAUAUAUAUAUAUAUUGUCCUAAGAGUUGUUUUAACCAAAUUAAACAUUCAACCCUGGGUCUAAGUCUAUGAAUGAAAGUUUCUCAAUACUGUUAUAGUAAUUGGAAAUUGUAUUGCAAUAACCAUGUUCAUAAACUCACCAUGCAAAAGAGAGAGGCAGUUGCAGCAUAAUCAUAGUAAUGGAAGAGCUGUUUUGCUUUUAUCGUUCAAAUACGGACUUAAUCUUUUUUUUAAACUUUGCUGUGAAAAUUAGUCUACUAGGUUUUAAUAGACUAUUAAAGAGGUUGGAAGUAGUUACUAUGUUUAACUAAACGGGGGGAGAGGAGCUGUUCCUGGCAAAUGUAUCUGCAGUGGAAAUGAGGACUACUAGAUGUGCUAUGUAAGGUCAUAUUCUCUUAGUUCACAUGUUUGAUUCUGACAUGAGCAUGAUCUCUCUUAUCCAUGUCUUGUGUGCGCGCGCGCGCACACACACACACACAGAUUUGUCCAUAGAGCGCUUUCCAGAAACAUCCAUAGACCAUAUUUUUACUGGCAUUUACAUUUUGAACUCAAAAUGAGUGUUAAAUUCCUGAGACAAUCCUACAACACUGUAGAUGCAAUGCUUCCACAAAAAUUAAUUAUGACAAUUAUCAGUGCAAAAUUACUGUAGUCUCUCAUUCUGUUUGAAUUCAGAGACUGAACAGUAAAGAUCCCACAAAUGUAUCUUUGAUUUCCACAUCUGAAGCUGUUGGUUAGUCUGACUAGGACAUAGAGCAAGAAAAAGGAAGUCUCCUUUUUAUUAAUAGGAACUAAAUUGGCUGUUUGAGGGGAAACUGUUGAAUUAAUAAAUUUAUACUUAAUGUACAAUGUUUAGUGGAGUAAAACAAGACAAGGAUGCUUACUUGAAAAAUCAAAUGUGCUGCUGACUGGUAUGAAUUCUAGGUAUUUUUCUGAUGCAGAUAUCAGUGUCCUUGUAACUGAUUAAAUACCCAGUAAUGGGGUAGUACUAAAAUCAAAGAGUAUUGUAGUUCUAAUCGGUUCAACUUUAGUCACAGUUGAUGAGCAUUGAGUAUGAUAGACACUAUAGAAAUACCUAAGAUUGAAUUGCAGGGAUGGUUUGUAUAGUGCAAUGGUUUUGCUGCAGAUGUUACUGCAUUAUUGCAAUUUACAGGGAUAAGCAGCUUCUUAGAUUCAGUUUUAUUCCUUCUGUAUGACUCACUUUGUAUUUUUAUAUAUAUAAAUGCUGCUUAAUUGCUAGUCUGUGCCUUGAGUUGAGCUCACCAGAUCGAUGCAGAUAGAUUAUUAGGGUUGGAAGGGACCUCAGGAGAUCUAGUCCAACCCCCUGCUCAAAGCAGGACUAAGCCCCAAAUGGCCCCCUCAAGGAUUGAACUCACAACCCUGGGUUUAGCAGGCCAAUGCUGAAACCACUGAGCUAUCCCUCCUGUCCCCUGAUAUACGAGUGCUGAAUGAACUAAUAAUUUUUAAUUUGUACAAAGCUGUGAUUCAAACCCCCAAGGUAAGACCUCUUCCAUGGCUUCUGUAAUGUCAUGCACAUACAUGGACUGUGGGUAUUGUCUUUUGUUUGGGAAGUCUUUAACACAGGCAAUAAUGCAACAAUCCGCUUAUCUUAAGGAUGGUGGUCUCUGUCACUUUGAGCCACCAUUUUAAAAGGAAGACCCAGCCUCUUUCACCUAAAUUGUACAAGCCAUAACUUCAAACUGACUUUUUGGGGUGAUUUUGUCUCCCAGACUUACAGGUUUGAUUUGUUUCUGGGCUGCUGAGCUAAGCUUCUUAAUCAUCUUAAACUACUUUUAAUACUAGCCAAAUUAUUGGGGUAAGCUGCUUAUUGUGAAUGUUUUAGCUGAAUGUUAGUGGGAUGCUUUUUCAGUAGCUGUGAUUUGCUAAAUGUCUUACUGCAAGUGAGCAAUUGCUUGGAUGUUACUGUUUUUGUUUUUUUUCUUGUGUAUUUUAAAAGGACUCAGGAUUGUCAUAUGGCUAAUCUUCCUUGCCAAGACCAGUAUUUGACAGCAUAAUCCGUUUUCUGCACACUGACCUUUAAUGAAAAUUGUUCUUUAAACUACUUGUAACAAAGAUUAAAUUUCUUUCUUGCCUAGGAAGAUCUUUAAUUUGAGACUCGGGGCAGAAAUCAGGCCUAUAGUGUCUUGCUCAUGAGAAAUGCACAUAUUUUUACAAUCAAGAUGAGUCUUAAUCACGUUUGGGAUGGCUUUUACAUUUAAUAGCAAGAUGUACAUAACUACAACAUUUGUUUUUUGUAAAAUGUAAUUUAAAUGUGGUGGUAGUGUAUGGAAGUCAGUUGUUUGCUGUCAAGCAACAGGAUUGUGUUGACAUUUCAAGUACAUGACUUUUUGGCUGAGUAGAUUUAUUUGAAAAGAAUGUGCGAGUAAAUUGGUCAAAAGACAGUAGAUGGCAUACCCUGCAUUUUAAGUUGGUGUAAAUUUACUCCCGUAGCAUGAAGUCCAAGCAGCAUUGUUUGGGUAAUUCUCAUGCUAUUGCUUGGGCAGCAUGGAGGCCAACAAAUGCAUUAUGUGUCUUCAGGAUGCUCUGUCCUGAGCUAACUCUGGUCUAUUAUGGGGUAGGAUGCCUGUGAGGGACAGGUGUCAGGCUGUCCAGCCAUCGUGUUUUAGGUCUUCCAGGAAGUCUCUCACCCUGCUUCCAAACAGCAUAGCAACAUUAUUUUUUCCCCCUAGUAAUGAACUACUAGGUGAGCUGGAAUUAUUGAAGACUGUAGAUCAUGUGACUAAUAUAAACCCCUGAACGUUGAACCAUCAAGGACUACUUACAACUGUUUUGUUUCAAAUGACACUAGAUUCUGCUUCUAAUAUACUAAUGGAGGUGUUAGUAAUCUCUUAACUUCAUCCUGAAUCCCUGCAGAAGAUGGUCCAUUUUAAGAGUGAUUGGGGGGUAGAGGGGAGAAACUUGCUAAAUUUCACUUUUCUAAUUGACAAACCUGAUGACAGUCAAAAUCUCAUCUAACUCUCCAUGAAGACAUAACAGCAAGGUGCUACAGUGAAUCUCAUUACUAGAAAUGUGUAUAAGAUUACUACCUACAAUGUUGCUUAGCAUUGAACAUAACAUGGCAGAAAAUAGGCCUUCCACUGAAGUUUACAAUCUGAUCCUAUAAGCAGUUAAACAUGAAUAAAGUUACACACUGUGUGUGAGUGGGCCUCAAGUGGG